This 229-nucleotide ribosomal RNA is filed under the name uncultured bacterium. RNAcentral describes it as "partial 16S ribosomal RNA". It matches the Rfam family "Bacterial small subunit ribosomal RNA", at positions 524 to 752 of the family's 1533-position model. The record is from RNAcentral.
UACGUAGGGUGCGAGCGUUAAUCGGAAUUACUGGGCGUAAAGCGUGCGCAGGCGGUUUGUUAAGACAGAUGUGAAAUCCCCGGGCUUAACCUGGGAACUGCAUUUGUGACUGGCAAGCUAGAGUAUGGCAGAGGGGGGUAGAAUUCCACGUGUAGCAGUGAAAUGCGUAGAGAUGUGGAGGAAUACCGAUGGCGAAGGCAGCCCCCUGGGCCAAUACUGACGCUCAUGC